CCUACGGGCGGCAGCAGUGGGGAAUAUUGGACAAUGGGGGGAACCCUGAUCCAGCCAUGCCGCGUGUGUGAAGAAGGCCCUCGGGUUGUAAAGCACUUUCAGUGAGGAAGAACGCCUGGUGGUUAAUACCCAUCAGGAAAGACAUCACUCACAGAAGAAGCACCGGCUAACUCCGUGCCAGCAGCCGCGGUAAUACGGAGGGUGCGAGCGUUAAUCGGAAUUACUGGGCGUAAAGCGCGCGUAGGUGGCUUGAUAAGCCGGUUGUGAAAGCCCCGGGCUCAACCUGGGAACGGCAUCCGGAACUGUCAAGCUAGAGUGCAGGAGAGGAAGGUAGAAUUCCCGGGGUAGCGGUGAAAUGCGUAGAGAUCGGGAGGAAUACCAGUGGCGAAGGCGGGCUUCUGGACUGACACUGAUACUGAGGUGCGAAAGCGUGGGUAGCAAACAGGAUCAGAUACCCUGGUAGUA
RNAcentral lists this ribosomal RNA (465 nucleotides) under Vreelandella stevensii. Its description in RNAcentral is "partial 16S ribosomal RNA". It matches the Rfam family "Bacterial small subunit ribosomal RNA", at positions 338 to 795 of the family's 1533-position model. Lineage: Bacteria; Pseudomonadati; Pseudomonadota; Gammaproteobacteria; Oceanospirillales; Halomonadaceae. The record is from RNAcentral.